Molecule: long non-coding RNA, 4741 nt
Filed under: Stegodyphus dumicola
Lineage: Eukaryota; Metazoa; Arthropoda; Arachnida; Araneae; Eresidae
Description: uncharacterized LOC118190283
Source: RNAcentral
AGUAUUUUACAUUUAUUUAGCAGCAUACAUAAGUAAAAAAUAUGUGCAAUUAAUUUCAUGAUGGCAUGUCAUAUUACAGCUAGAAUUAGUUUCACAAGUAUGCUAUAGAAAAUUGCCAGAAAUAUGAAAGUAUUAUUAACUGAUAAAUAUGAAAGUAUUAUUAACUGAACAUUAGAAGGAAGAAGACACAUUAAAAUAAAGUGAAUUACUUAAGAAUUAAAAAACUGAAUUACAAAAAUUGACAGUAUUUUGGCCAAUAUAAAUAUAUUAAAUGGUUAGCCUAGAUGACUGAUUAUUGUUUAUUUUAUUUUACUGCAAAAUGACAAAUAAGGUAUUUAAGAAAGAAGAAAAGGUUUAAAAUAUUUUGUCUUUAUACAAGGAUUUAUUUUUGUUCAACAUGCACUGUACAUGUGCAUGCAAAUCUCUGGAUUCUUAAGGUUACUAGAAACCAAAGAUGCUGGAAACUUGCUUUGCUUUUUUAAAAGACAUUCUGAUUGGCACUGCAAAAACUGGCUCUACACCAGCUGUCUGAAUGACACUCAUGUGAUACAUGAUUCGCAGAGAAAAUGAUUGCUUCCGAUGUUAGUGCAAAAACCGCUUUUUUGGGGAUUGCAAUAUAAAAUUCUGACUUUUACAGUCAAUUUUUGAAUUCUGACUUUCCCCAGUUUUCCAGGCAGCCUGGCAACCCUCCCCCCAAAAAACUAAUGUUGUCCUUGUGUGCGCACAUGUUUAAGAACAUUGGCCCUUCCACCAUACCAAAAUCGAAAAAUCACAAUGACAAAUGGUAUACAUAGCAAUACUACAUUUCCUCGAUGAAAUAAUAGAAGGAAAGUCAUCUAUGUACGAUUUUUGAAAAGUACACAAGUAUUUUAUAUCUUUUGCAGGCAUAACUAAGACAAAUGAUCGCUGUUUCUUAAACUGUUUUUAGGAAGCACAUGAAACUCACUGGCAAGAUGGACAAAAAAAAACAACCUCGAUUGUGUUUCUGCUCAUUUCCUAAUAUAUGCCUAUGACCCCUCACCAAAGUACUGAAACACGAUGUUUUCAGACUCGCUCCAUAUCUCACUGAUGAAAUGACUUUGGUUCUCCUUUUUAUAUGCAUCUAGAGGGGAAAAAACAUGUGCUUUCAGACACCAAAAAGUGACAUUUUUGGGUGCAAAUAAUGAACUGUAAACCAAGGUAUAAAAAAAUCAUGAGCAAUUUUAAAAGUGGGAGAAUCAAAUCAGGUUGGUGAGAAUAUGGUCGGAAAUCAGGAGUCUCCUGCCUAAAUCAGGACAGUUGGCAACUCUGCAAGAUAAAUAAUUAUUUAAAAAUAUUUUAAUAUAAAACCUGCAAAUUGAUCACAGUAAGGUCAUGGAAGACCUUGCUAGUAUAUACUUUAAUAGCUGGCAUAAUUUGUAGUUAGAUACUGCAUUUCAUUGUGGUGGUGAUAUCUGUGAAUUUAAAGGUUAACAGAUAACACAAGCAUAAGGCGAAAUUUCCUAAUUAACGGACUUUGUGAAAAAAUGUGGAGAAGUGAUAAUAAAUGAAAAUGAUAUUAACAGGAAAUUUUUAGUGCAAUGACAAUGCCCCAGUAAUCAGACAACUAAUGGAUGGUAAAAUCUGCAGUAUUGUUUUAAAUACAAAAUAUAAUGCUACUGAUUGUGAAAAAGGUUACAAACAGCUUUUUGAGAAUGAAAAGGUUUCAAAGGAAAGGUUUAGGGGGAAUUCUCGACAUGGUAAUUAUGACACUUGGAUAAUGAAAAUCAAGCAACCAAACAAGAAUCUGUGCCUAUCUAUGAAUUUAAUACUGUUAAAAAUUUAAAUAUGAAGCUCAAUAUUGUUAGCAGUCUCUCAUAAUUUUAAACUUCAUAAUGGCAUUAUAAUAAGUCAUUUGACACAAACAUGCAAGAGCAGGACUAGUAUUAAAUUUCAUUGUUUAAGACAACAACAGGCUACUACCAAUUUUACUUCUAUGUAUAGUUUGAUAAGCCAACCAGCACAUCAUUUGCCAACUUGGAAAUUUUCACAAGAGUGUUGUAACACCAAGAUGCCAGCACUUUUAUUAAGAUCAGUUUUUAACUUGAAAAGAGCACUCUUAGAAGUUUCAGUCCAUUACUCUGGUUAAUGAAAAAGGAUCCCUACUUGUAUAAUUAUGCAACUUCAUGAAAGUAGCUUCCCAAGUUAAAGAACUGAUUUUCAUAAUGUUGAAUCAUCUAUGCCAUGCAACUCUUGUGAAUAUUUUUCUUUGCAAAUUUGAACUGCAUUCCCGUUAUAAUGAUUCAAACACUUUCAUAAUGAGAUAACCUUACGCAGCAAGCCUAAGGUAAAUUGGUAAUUUGAUUUUUCUUGUUUAUUUGCAAUCUAUUUACUUACUGUUUCUAAUGCUGCAUUUAGAACAAAAGAUGUUUUAUAGAACAAAAUAAAGAAUCUCAAGAUUACUUCACCAACUCCAAAGUUUUACUGCUCAGUCUAACUUUUCUAAAUUACACAUCAAGGGAGAAAAUACAGGACAUAGGUACAUAAAUGACACAUACAUGAGAAAUGAUCACAACACAUUUCCUUAGCAAAUAUACUGAUAGAGGACCUUCCAAAAAUGACACAAGAAAAUUAACAUGCUUGGGAAUAUGGCACUCAUUUCUGCAGCUGAAAAAAUAUAUAACAAUCUACAUCAAUUACUCCAUUUGUAAAAUGUCAUGUGAUGUUAUUGAACGACUGUGGAUCAAAACACAAGUUAUGCAAUUAUUUUAGAGCAGUUCAUUUAAAAUUUAAACAAAAAAGAAGAAAAGGCCCACUCUAAAGUACUACUGCUAAUAAAGCUCUCAAACUGUUUACUGACCAUAUUUUUGGAGCUCAGAUUUCCUUACCUUCAUAGCUAACAACAAAACAAUGGCUUGUCCAAUACAUCAAAUAAAAAAUUUCAGAUGCAUAUCCCAAUUUUAAUAUAAACUACAUACAAAUGCAUAAAUUUAUGAUAUAAUUUCACCAUAUAACAUGGAAAAAGUUCAAAUUAUAGUUCUUUAGUUUCUUUUUGACAUAAAAAGUAAUAAUUCACAAGUAGAAAGAGAAAGAUACAACUCUUACACAAUUUGCAAAUAAAAUUUUCGAUUUUGCCAAAUUCUAGUUUGACACUUUUGUAUUCUAGCAAGAAAUAACAUUUUUUAAUGGAUAAAGCUCAGUGAAUCAAGUUGAGAAGAUCAAUGAUUAAUUACAAAACGUUAACACACCAAAAUUUGUCAACAGAAAAGUUUAAGAAAGCUUAGAAUCAAGAAAGUACAAACCCAAAAUGAAAUAUAUAGGAAUAGCACAUUAUAAAAAGAACUUUGCUUAGUUUUACUUUAUCACACAGGUACAACAUGCAAAUAUCAUGACAAAAACCAGAAGGCUUUCUACAAAUACAUAAAAUUCAUUUCUUUAUAGUAACAGAAAAUAUAUGUCGCAGGAGUAAUUGAAAAUAAAUAAUAUGCACUUUGUAAAAGACCAGGAUAAUAUAAUAAUCCUAAUCCCAUAAGAAAACAUUUAAUAGAUGGUUUCAUGAAAGUAUUUUUAUCCAAAUUUAUACAAUAAAUUAAAAGGAAAUAUUCUUCAGCAUGGUAACAGAAACUGUGUAAGUAUAAAAAUAUGAACAACAUAGUAACAAGUUGGAUUACAAUAUUAAAAUAUAAAUAAUUAACAGUGAAUUUAUACCUAUAUUACAUGUAUUAAACUGAAAAAAGUGCACUGAUAACCCCCUCCACCCAUUUCCUAAUCAAGUGUUUUCAUUUUCAUAACUUAUAAAUUUUAAGCUAAUACAGAUUGAAAGACAAAAAUUAUUUGAUAUAAGUCUACAUCCAAUCAUUUUGGGGUUCAAAGAAAUUACACGCAUUUAUACACAACUACGGCAAAGAGUAAUAAUAUUCUAAUCUAAUACUUAUUAAAAGUCACUUCAUUCAAAAAUGUUUUUAAUGAGGAAAAUUAUCAGUCAUAGAUUCAGAGCAUUUAAAAUAUACACAUUUUACACACAAACAUCAAUCACUGAUCUUUAAUUUGGCUUUGAAAUUUGAAGCAAAAAUUGACCAAGAAAUGAUUUUUAAAAUGAAAGGAAGUAAAACUAGCUCUAUUCACUAUAACUUUAAUAACACAAUUAUUAAUGUAUAACAUUAAGAUUCUUAACAGUUGAGGAAUGAAUGAAAAAAAGUUUGUUCUAAAGUUAUUUUCAUUUAGACAUAUGGACGGAAAAUAAAUGUCACAAUAAAAGAACAGAUAAAAUUUCUUUGAAAGAUGAAAAGCACUUCAAACUAUAUUUAACAGAACGCACAAUUAAAUGAUAGUCUUGAACUGCAAAAGCUUAAAACAGAAAAAUACUUAAAAUGAAAUCUUGACAAAGCUACACUUGUACAUGUAUAUUUAGUCCUUCAAAAUAAAUGUUUUUAACCUUGUACUUCUACGUAACAGGUUGAAACAAUCUUGUAUUAAUAAUCACUAGAUAUUAAAUAAGGAAAUAUUAAACACAUAUAACAUAUACAUAUAUACAAAAAGGUGUAAUAUUUCAAAGCAAUGAAGUUAUAUUUACUUAUAAUGGGACUUAAUAAAAUUUACAUAAUGAAUACCCUUAUUUUACAGGAAAAUGAUUAUUAAAAAAAUUGAGAAUCAUUUCCUUCCACGAUGCUUAAAAGAAAUCUUAAUAUUCAAAAUUCUCUACACAUACUACUAUAUUUGUACUUUAUCAAAAAGGAUUUUUAAAACACAAAGUAAAGAAUUUCAAGCAAAAUAAGUCUAAAAA